This 502-nucleotide ribosomal RNA is filed under the name Copelatus sp. 8. RNAcentral describes it as "partial 16S ribosomal RNA". The stretch from base 378 to 502 matches the Rfam family "Bacterial large subunit ribosomal RNA", at positions 2473 to 2597 of the family's 2925-position model. The record is from RNAcentral. Lineage: Eukaryota; Metazoa; Arthropoda; Insecta; Coleoptera; Dytiscidae.
GAAUUUAAUUUAAGGUUUAACCUGCCCACUGAUUAAUUAAAUGGCCGCAGUAAUUUGACUGUGCAAAGGUAGCAUAAUCAUUAGUUUUUUAAUUAAAAGCUUGUAUGAAGGGUUGGACGAGGUAAAAUCUGUCUCUAUUUAAUUUAUUUUAGAAUUUAAUUUUUAAGUUAAAAAGCUUAAAUAUUUAUAAAAGACGAGAAGACCCUAUAGAUCUUUAUAUUAUUAUAUAUAAUUUUAAUAAGGAAUUUUUUAUUUUUUAUUUGUAUUAAUAUUUUAUUGGGGCAAUAAAAAGAUUUUAAUAAUUCUUUUUGAUUUAUAAUAUAGAUUAAUAAAUUUAUGAUCCAAUAUUUUUGAUUAAAAGAUUAAGUUACCUUAGGGAUAACAGCGUAAUUUUUUUUGAGAGUUCAUAUCGAUAAAAAAGUUUGCGACCUCGAUGUUGGAUUAAAAAUUAUUUUAGGUGCAGAAGCUUGAAAAUAUUGGUCUGUUCGACCAUUAAAUUUUU